RNAcentral lists this ribosomal RNA (468 nucleotides) under uncultured bacterium. RNAcentral's name for it is "partial 16S ribosomal RNA". It matches the Rfam family "Bacterial small subunit ribosomal RNA", at positions 28 to 507 of the family's 1533-position model. The record is from RNAcentral.
GACGAACGCUGGCGGCGUGCUUAACACAUGCAAGUCGAACGGAAAGGCCCUGCUUUUGUGGGGUGCUCGAGUGGCGAACGGGUGCGUAACACGUGAGUAACCUGCCCUUGACUUUGGGAUAACUUCAGGAAACUGGGGCUACUACCGGAUAGGAGCUCCUGCUGCAUGGUGGGGGUUGGAUCGUUUCGGCGGUUGGGGAUGGACUCGCGGCUUAUCAGCUUGUUGGUGGGGUAGUGGCUUACCAAGGCUUUGAACGGUCGCCGGCCUGAGAGGGUGACCGGCCACAUGGGGACUGAGGUACGGCGCAGACUCCUACGGGAGGCAGCAGUGGGGAAUAUUGCACAAUGGGCGGAAGCCUGAGGCAGCAACGCCGCGUGCGGGAUGACGGCCUUCGGGUUGUAAACCGCUUUCGGCUGUGACGAAGCGUGAGUGACGGUAAUGGGUAAAGAAGCACCGGCUAACUACGUG